Molecule: ribosomal RNA, 639 nt
Filed under: Pseudomonas sp. enrichment culture clone SB5
Lineage: Bacteria; Pseudomonadati; Pseudomonadota; Gammaproteobacteria; Pseudomonadales; Pseudomonadaceae
Description: bacterial SSU rRNA
Rfam family: Bacterial small subunit ribosomal RNA
Source: RNAcentral
GAAGCUUGCUUCUCUUGAGAGCGGCGGACGGGUGAGUAAUGCCUAGGAAUCUGCCUAGUGGUGGGGGAUAACGUUCGGAAACGGACGCUAAUACCGCAUACGUCCUACGGGAGAAAGCGGGGGACCUUCGGGCCUCGCGCCAUUAGAUGAGCCUAGGUCGGAUUAGCUAGUUGGUGAGGUAACGGCUCACCAAGGCGACGAUCCGUAACUGGUCUGAGAGGAUGAUCAGUCACACUGGAACUGAGACACGGUCCAGACUCCUACGGGAGGCAGCAGUGGGGAAUAUUGGACAAUGGGCGAAAGCCUGAUCCAGCCAUGCCGCGUGUGUGAAGAAGGUCUUCGGAUUGUAAAGCACUUUAAGUUGGGAGGAAGGGCAGUAAGCGAAUACCUUGCUGUUUUGACGUUACCGACAGAAUAAGCACCGGCUAACUCUGUGCCAGCAGCCGCGGUAAUACAGAGGGUGCAAGCGUUAAUCGGAAUUACUGGGCGUAAAGCGCGCGUAGGUGGUUGGUUAAGUUGGAUGUGAAAGCCCCGGGCUCAACCUGGGAACUGCAUCCAAAACUGGCCGACUAGAGUACAGUAGAGGGUGGUGGAAUUUCCUGUGUAGCGGUGAAAUGCGUAGAUAUAGGAAGGAACACC